AUACUUACCUGGCAAGGGAGAAACUGUGAUCAAGAAGGCAGUUCACCCAGGGUGAGGCUCAGCCAUUGCACUCCGGCUGUGCUGACCCCUGCGAAUUUCCCAAAUGUGGAAAUCUCGAUUGCAUAAUUGUUC
Small nuclear RNA from Oncorhynchus tshawytscha (Chinook salmon), 132 nucleotides. Its record names the gene U1. It matches the Rfam family "U1 spliceosomal RNA". Rfam says of the family: U1 is a small nuclear RNA (snRNA) component of the spliceosome (involved in pre-mRNA splicing). Its 5' end forms complementary base pairs with the 5' splice junction, thus defining the 5' donor site of an intron. There are significant differences in sequence and secondary structure between metazoan and yeast U1 snRNAs, the latter being much longer (568 nucleotides as compared to 164 nucleotides in human). The record is from Ensembl. Lineage: Eukaryota; Metazoa; Chordata; Actinopteri; Salmoniformes; Salmonidae.